AUGAGGAUCCCAAAACAGUGCAGGUUUUGUUUUUGUUUUUUUAGGGGGGGGGGGGGGGCAGAAGAAAAAAAAAGUCUCAAGAGUCUCAAAGCGAGUUUGAUUUUUCAGAUCAGAACUCUACGGAACCGUUCCAAGCCCCUACCGCUUGGCAUAAUGAUGAUGAAAGCCAACGAGAGGUUUGGGUCACUGGAACCCAUGCCCUUCCGUCAGUGUGGGAGCGAUCCGUGCCUCCCUCCCCGGGGUGGUUUUAAAAUUCAGCAACCGAAGAGCGGAGACUCCGGCAGGGCCUCCAGGAAACCGUGUCCCUGUAGGGCGGACACCGUCGUCCUCGACUUGCUCUUGCAAAUUUUUUUUUUUUUUUUUUUUUUUUUGUGUGUGACCUGGUCUGGCCGUACGCUUCAACUGGGGGAGGAGGGAGGAAAAGCCCCCGUGCCGGGCCCGCAGCCGGGCGGGGGCGCGGAGCCGUCGGGUCUCAGGCCCGGGGCGCGGCGACCGCCCCCUCCUCGCCUGGCGUUUCGGCCGCAGGGCCCGACCCCCCGCCCGCCCCGGCCCCUUCCCGCUCCGCGCCGGCCGCCCCGCGUCUCGGGUCUGGGGCCCCUUUCGCAGAGCCCCGCAGCGUCAGCGCGGCUCCCCGCGCCCCGGCCCGCGAGGCGUCCGCGGAGGGCGCCGCCCGCGCCGCCAGGGAAGAUGGCGCCCGCGGAGCAACUGCGCCACCAGCCCUGGCGACGGGCCAGGCCCAGCGCCAUCUUAGCGCCUUCCAGCCGCACCCACCCCCACCCCCACCCCCACCCCCCGAAAAAGAUCCCGCAUUCGGGGCGACUCGGGGGGCCGAGCCGCGUGGAGCCCGCGCGCCCGCACAGCGCCGCCGCGGCGCCCCGUCCGCUCGGCCCGGCUGGAGGCGCCCGGCGGGGCCGCGGGUCGGCGGCGCGGCGCGGCGCGGCGCGGCGCGAGGGCUCGGCCGGCCCCGGCCGCGGGUCGCCGGCGCAGCUUCGGAGCCAGGCGGCGAGGCGACCGGGAGGAGGCCGCUCGGGGCUCUCGCCGCCGCCGCCGCCCGCGGGAGCGCCUGGGAGGACGACGCCAGGCAGGAGGAAGCCGGUCCCCGCCGCCGCCGCCGCCGCCGCCGCCCUCCCCGCCGCUCCCCUCCCCCUCCGAGACGCGGGGUCCAUUUUGCCGAGAAGAAAGAAAAUGCGAUUCACACCCAAGAGCUUCCGAGAGAGAAAAGAAACGAGGGGGGGAAAACCGAGGGGAGGAGAUUGGAAAAGCUUAUUUUUCUUCCUCGCCCGCCGUCACUCCUGGCCCUCCCUGCCCCCCGCUCGCGGCCUCGCCGAGCCCCGCUCCCUCCUUCCCGGCUCCCGGCGGCUCCGGGGGGCGGAAAACACACUCACACUCGCGCACACAACUAAUUUUAAACCGGCUCAAUCAAUGAGUCAUUAA
RNAcentral lists this long non-coding RNA (1434 nucleotides) under Canis lupus familiaris (dog). RNAcentral's name for it is "lncRNA (ENSCAFG00030014678.1)". The record is from RNAcentral. Lineage: Eukaryota; Metazoa; Chordata; Mammalia; Carnivora; Canidae.